UGCGUAGGCGGAUUGUUAAGUCAGGGGUGAAAGUCUACGGCUCAACCGUAGAAGCGCCAUUGAUACUGGCAGUCUUGAGUACAGUAGAGGUAGGCGGAAUUUAUGGUGUAGCGGUGAAAUGCAUAGAUACCAUAAAGAACACCUAUAGCGAAGGCAGCUUACUAUUCUGUAACUGACGCUGAGGCACGAAAGCGUGGGGAGCGAACAGGAUUAGAUACCCUGGUAGUCC
This 229-nucleotide ribosomal RNA is filed under the name uncultured bacterium. Its description in RNAcentral is "partial 16S ribosomal RNA". It matches the Rfam family "Bacterial small subunit ribosomal RNA", at positions 568 to 796 of the family's 1533-position model. The record is from RNAcentral.